This 253-nucleotide ribosomal RNA is filed under the name uncultured bacterium. Its description in RNAcentral is "partial 16S ribosomal RNA". It matches the Rfam family "Bacterial small subunit ribosomal RNA", at positions 524 to 776 of the family's 1533-position model. The record is from RNAcentral.
UACGUAGGUGGCAAGCGUUGUCCGGAUUUAUUGGGUUUAAAGGGUGCGUAGGCGGUUCUUUAAGUCAGUUGUGAAAUACGGCAGCUUAACUGUCGAGGUGCAAUUGAUACUGGGGAACUAGAGUACUGAUGAGGUAUGCGGAAUUGACGGUGUAGCGGUGAAAUGCUUAGAUAUCGUCCAGAACACCGAUAGCGAAGGCAGCAUACUAAGGAGUAACUGACGCUGAGGCACGAAAGUGUGGGGAGCAAACAGG